Salvia miltiorrhiza (redroot sage) is the source of this 768-nucleotide long non-coding RNA. RefSeq lists it as uncharacterized. Lineage: Eukaryota; Viridiplantae; Streptophyta; Magnoliopsida; Lamiales; Lamiaceae. The record is from RefSeq and is a predicted model, not a curated record. The transcript is spliced from 3 exons.
GAGAGUAGAGAGUUGAGAGUAUAUUAUGGAGAGAGUAAGGAUUGAUAGUGUAGAGAUUAGAGAGAGAUUAGAGUGAGAGAGAGAUCAAAGGCAUUAAUUGCCAAUAUUCUUUAAGAUUUGCAAAAUCUCUAUAAGAUCAUCUAAAUCUUGCAAAUCCAUUCAUAUCUCUCAAGCAACUCUCUCUCUCCUUCAUCCUCACCAAUCGGCCACCUCUCUCUCUCCUUUCUCUCUCAUAAUUCCUCCAUUGUCAACCAUUGGAGAGACCUCCGAAGCUUCACCAAAAUAUGCCAAACACAUAAAUCACCAACAAAAUUCCACCUAAACACCUCCUAUCAACUUGAAUCCAAGGAAAUCCUUGAAGAUUGGCUUCAAGACUAGUGAGAGAAAGUUUGUUUGUUGGUGAAAAACUUGAACACGAGCAGAGCAGGGAAGUAAGUAACUCCGCUUUGACGGGAGUUUUUGAGUAAGGUCUUCAGACUAAGCGAGGAGCGAGAUUGGUCUGGUGCUGGCGGGGAAAUGUUGGAGGAUGUAUUUACUUUAUCGUAUUUCCAUUUUGACGAUAAAGUCUUGAUGAUUGAUAUACUUAAAUUUUCUUUGGAAGUUAAGCAAUGUACUCACGGUUAUAUGUCUUCAUACAUAUAAUCGGUUCGCCUUUUGCUGCGAUACUCUGCAUAUUAUGAUUCCUUACGAAAAAUGAGCGAUACCCGUUUUGUUUUUGUUCGUGAAAUUCCUGAUAAUUAAAAAGUUAUAACGACAUUGACGAUUUUA